RNAcentral lists this transfer RNA (72 nucleotides) under Ovis aries (sheep). It matches the Rfam family "tRNA". From Rfam's summary of the family: Transfer RNA (tRNA) molecules are approximately 80 nucleotides in length. Their secondary structure includes four short double-helical elements and three loops (D, anti-codon, and T loops). Lineage: Eukaryota; Metazoa; Chordata; Mammalia; Artiodactyla; Bovidae. The record is from Rfam by way of RNAcentral.
UCCCUGGUAGCUUAGACGGUAAAGCGUCUGCCUACAAUGAGGGAGAUCUGGGUUCGAUCCCUGGGUAGGGAA